ACGAGACGGGAUGGAAUGACCCUUCGGGGGAAUGAAAUCCUAGAAAGUGGCGAACGGGUGAGUAACGCGUGGGUAACCUGCCCUAUGGAAAGGAAUAGCCUCGGGAAACUGGGAGUAAUGCCUUAUAAUAUACGAGAGUCGCAUGGCUUUUGUAUUAAACGCUCCGGUGCCAUAGGAUGGACCCGCGUCCCAUUAGCUAGUUGGUGAGAUAACAGCCCACCAAGGCAACGAUGGGUAACCGGUCUGAGAGGGCGAACGGUCACACUGGAACUGAGACACGGUCCAGACUCCUACGGGAGGCAGCAGUGGGGAAUAUUGCGCAAUGGGGGCAACCCUGACGCAGCAAUACCACGUGAGUGAAGAAGGUUUUCGGAUCGUAAAGCUCUGUUAUUGGGGAAGAAAAAAGACGGUACCCAAGAAGAAAGUCCCGGCUAACUACGUGCCAGCAGCCGCGGUAAUACGUAGGGGACAAGCGUUGUCCGGAUUUACUGGGCGUAAAGGGCACGCAGGCGGUUUUUUAAGUCAGAUGUGAAAGGUACCGGCUCAACCGGUGACAUGCAUUUGAAACUGAAAGACUUGAGUAUUGGAGAGGCAAGUGGAAUUCCUAGUGUAGCGGUGAAAUGCGUAGAUAUUAGGAGGAACACCGGUGGCGAAGGCGGCUUGCUGGACAAAUACUGACGCUGAGGUGCGAA
This 692-nucleotide ribosomal RNA is filed under the name uncultured Clostridium sp. RNAcentral describes it as "bacterial SSU rRNA". It matches the Rfam family "Bacterial small subunit ribosomal RNA", at positions 66 to 757 of the family's 1533-position model. Lineage: Bacteria; Bacillati; Bacillota; Clostridia; Eubacteriales; Clostridiaceae. The record is from RNAcentral. RNAcentral also lists the same sequence under 1 other name.